UAUAUAAAAGAGAGUUCUUUCACUCCUAAAGCCCUCCACGUCUGAUUCCAGGUCAGAAAUUCGUUGAUUCUGGUGCCGACACGUGUCCUUCAUUUAUUUCUGGUGUAAGUUGGUUUGGGCUUCGUCUGCAUUCAUAGUCCUUAUUUUACAAGCCCAUCUAUAGAGAGUGAGUCAAUAUAUUUGAAACGCGUCGUUUUUUUAAUUCUAUGGGUUAAACCCGUUUUUUCAUCUCCUUCUGAAAUUGCCGUCUUCUCCAAUCCCUAAUUUUGCAGCCGUCUAUGUGAGAAUGUAUCUGUAACGUUAAUCGUCAUUCAAACAUGUCAUAAAGAAUCUCCUUUUAACUCUCUGCUACCGUCUCUCCCACUAAGUUGAUUUUAAUUACUCUUUCCCACCACUACUUUGCAAAUACCUUAAUUCUCACAUCUAUAAAUAAGGGAUGAAGAACUCUCCCAAUCUCAUACUUUCACCGUAUUAUUUAUACUACCCCCUUCCCAAAAGAGCUUCCAAAGAUGGUAACCGCUCCAAUCCUGCUUUCCAUCUGAAGAGUGGCCGUGCUUCUAAGACGGGUUUGACGCGGCUUUAGGAGGCAGAACGUCAAGAAAUCUGGAGAACUCAUGGGGUUUGACCUGUUCUUGAUUAACGAAAAAUCGACACUGCUACAAGGUUCAGUUCCAUCUCUGUCGACUGUAAUAAUAUGUUUGUGAGGAUGCUUCCACCCGUGAUGAGGAAGAAAUAAAGAGAGAGAGCCUCUGUGGUGCCUCUAUUCUUUAGCAGAUCAUGACGUCGUUCCCUGUUUCGAUCUUGGUUCUACUAGCUUAUGAAAAAGAAAAAUCGGGAACCGGGAUUCUUAGAUAUGAGUUGAGUCUAUGUUUAAGAAGAUAAUCGAUCUGGGGAAGCUCCGGUUAGUUUCAAUCCUUACGGCGGGAAUAUGGAGAGAUUAUAAAGUCGCAACACUGUUCCCGUACCGAGAUAAGCUUUUCAAGAUUUAAUACACUAUAAUAUUAGAAAUAAUUGUCAGCUGCAAAGAUAGAGAAGUGUUUUUAGAAAUAGAUUAAAGUGCUUCACAGUUUCAUGACCUGGUUUUGUAAGUAAGAAGCCUUUAAAUAUGUAUUUGAUCACGAGCGAGUAAUAACAAAGAAGAAAAAGUGUAUUGGAGAAAGUAUUUUAGAAAGAGCUUCAAUCGAUUAGUAAAUCAAAACUUUCGUUGAUCUUAGGAACUUAUUCACAAAUGAACAGAGUAUCCUACCUGCCAAGUACGACAUAUGAGAUAUUGUUUUAUCAUUUGAUAUAAAGAUUGGUGUUAGUUAAAUAUUUUAUUGCUUUGGUGAAGCAAUAUAGAAUGUAUUAGUUAUGGAUAUCAUAUAUUGUAUGUUUUCUCUGUUUUACAUCACAAUACUCUACAAUUUUAAAUUGUUUCGAAAAGUAUUUAUAAAGAGGUUGAUUAAGAUUAUAGUGGGAUUCUGGAAAAUGCAAACGUUAAAACACCACUAGCUAUGUUUCUAAUAUAUUAAUCCAAUCAACAUUAAUCAUUAUCAUAUUCCGUCAGGGUAUAAUAUCGAGAAAAUUUUGACUUUUAUAAAUGCAUUCAUUAUUUGUUUCUAAUAUGUUUUGUUUCACCACUAUUACGUUACUCAAAACAAUGAAUUCAACAUCAACAAAACUGUCACAGCAUGGGAAGAAAUGUUUAAAUGGAAGAAUGAAUUUAGAACAGAUCGCAUUAUAAAGGUAUGUAGAUUUCAGGUUCAAAGAGUUGGUCAACAUCAAAAUGCACUACCAUCAAGGGAAUCAUGGAAUUUAUGAAGAUGGAAGGCCUAACUAUAUC
Long non-coding RNA from Brassica rapa (field mustard), 1822 nucleotides. RefSeq lists it as uncharacterized. Lineage: Eukaryota; Viridiplantae; Streptophyta; Magnoliopsida; Brassicales; Brassicaceae. The record is from RefSeq and is a predicted model, not a curated record.